RNAcentral lists this ribosomal RNA (253 nucleotides) under uncultured bacterium. RNAcentral describes it as "partial 16S ribosomal RNA". It matches the Rfam family "Bacterial small subunit ribosomal RNA", at positions 524 to 776 of the family's 1533-position model. The record is from RNAcentral.
UACGAAGGGGGCUAGCGUUGCUCGGAAUCACUGGGCGUAAAGCGCACGUAGGCGGGUCUUUAAGUCAGGGGUGAAAUCCUGGAGCUCAACUCCAGAACUGCCUUUGAUACUGAGGAUCUCGAGUCCGGGAGAGGUGAGUGGAACUCCGAGUGUAGAGGUGAAAUUCGUAGAUAUUCGGAAGAACACCAGUGGCGAAGGCGGCUCACUGGCCCGGCAUUGACGCUGAGGAGCGAAAGCCAGGGGAGCAAACGGG